UCUUCCCUCUUUCUUCGUGCCUAAUACAUGCAAGUCGAGCGAACAGACGAGGAGCUUGCUCCUCUGACGAUAGCGGCGGACGGGUGAAUAACACGUGGAUAACCUACCUAUAAGACUGGGAUAACUUCGGGAAACCGGAGCUAAUACCGGAUAAUAUAUUGAACCGCAUGGUUCAAUAGUGAAAGACGGUUUUGCUGUCACUUAUAGAUGGAUCCGCGCCGCAUUAGCUAGUUGGUAAGGUAACGGCUUACCAAGGCGACGAUGCGUAGACGACCUGAGAGAGUGAUCGGCCACACUGGAGCUGAGACACGGUCCAGACGCCUACGGGAGGGAGCAGUAGGGAAUCUGCCGCAAUGGGCGAGAGCCUGACGGAGCAACGCCGAGUGAGUGAUGAAGGUCUUCGGAGCGUAAAACUCUGUUAUUAGGGAAGAACAAAUGUGUAAGUAACUAUGCACGUAUUGACGGUAACUAAUCAGAAAGCCACGGCUAACUACGUG
Molecule: ribosomal RNA, 497 nt
Filed under: uncultured bacterium
Lineage: Bacteria
Description: partial 16S ribosomal RNA
Rfam family: Bacterial small subunit ribosomal RNA
Source: RNAcentral